GGAGAUUUAGCACAGUGGUAGAGCGCUUGCCUAGCAAGCACAAGGCCCUGGGUUCGGUCCCCAGCUCCG
RNAcentral lists this transfer RNA (69 nucleotides) under Rattus norvegicus (Norway rat). It matches the Rfam family "tRNA". From Rfam's summary of the family: Transfer RNA (tRNA) molecules are approximately 80 nucleotides in length. Their secondary structure includes four short double-helical elements and three loops (D, anti-codon, and T loops). The record is from Rfam by way of RNAcentral. Lineage: Eukaryota; Metazoa; Chordata; Mammalia; Rodentia; Muridae.